Brassica oleracea var. oleracea is the source of this 864-nucleotide long non-coding RNA. RefSeq lists it as uncharacterized. The transcript is spliced from 3 exons. Lineage: Eukaryota; Viridiplantae; Streptophyta; Magnoliopsida; Brassicales; Brassicaceae. The record is from RefSeq and is a predicted model, not a curated record.
GUAGAGCAUUAAAAAUGGGCCGAAAAACUAUAAUCGGCAACAAACACCGUCUUCCUCUUCUUCCAAACCCGAACUCCCACCUUCUGUUAGAGAUCACGAACGUAACGACUCGCCGCAACAUAAAACCAUGUAAUUAAGCUUCUCCAUUAAUUUCUAUACACACCCAUUCUUCUACGUUACAUUUAAUUUCCUUUUUUUCCACCUAAAAACUUCAGAGACAUCUACACUAUAAAUAAUGAGGACGCCAUGAUCAAUCUCUUCAAUGCAAAUAACCUGCAACCUUUCGUGACCUCUCAUCUCCUCUCCUGCUGUUAGAUUUAAAGUCUGGUUGUUCUCCGCUGGCGGUGGUCAUGCUCCUGAUUAAUGAAAAGUUUAAGUUAUUUGCAUUCAGAUAGAUUUGUUCAUUGCUAUAUGAAAACAGAGUACAUGCUUUUGGAUUAGCAGAAGAAUCUAAGAAUUGCUGAUUUUGGAGUGGCUAGAGUUACUUAGAAUCCAAAGGACAUGGUUGGAGAAACUGGUACUCUUGGAUACAUGGCCCCGUAGAACCUGAGACCGGUAAUACUGAGAUGUUGUCCAACAUCAUUAUCGAGCAUAUGAAGAAAUGUUAGGAAGCAAAUCCGGAGAAGCGGCCGUAGAUGGAGGAAGUCGUUAAGAUGCUUUAACGAGUUGGAUGAUUCCGGAAGAUCAAAGAACUGGCUGUUACUGCUUUGUCGCUGGCCGUGGUCCUUGAAUUUACAUUCUUUACCCAUUCCUAACAUCUUAUUAUUAUUAUUAUAUACAUUUCUGCAUUUUGGAUCAUUGCUCUGUUAUUUUCCCAUAUAAUAUGUCUAUAUAAAAAGGUUUUUGUUAUUAUAUAAUUUUUGU